UACUUGGUAGUUCAGUUCCUACAUGGAAUAUCUAAUCCUGUUUAAGCUUGUUUUUCUCCUCAGAAGAAGAAAAUCCUCUUGCUAGCCUUCUUCUAUGAGUUGCAGCCUUGAGGGCCUUUCACCCCAUUCAUACCAUCUCUUUUCUUUCAGUCAGAUUCAACCACCCAUUAAUCCUUCUACAGCUAUUUUAUUAUAUGCAUUUAGUAAGUUGCUUGCUUUUCAGUUUGUGUUCAAGGUAAUGCAUGAUUUAUAUCUAAGUGUGGCUUCGAUGUGAGUUUAGUUGGCUGAGUAGAUAUGCAGCCUAACAUGGAUUGAAGCCAGAACAUCAAAUCUUUGGCUGCCUCCACCAUGGACUGUGGAUCAGGUCCCUAACAUUAUUUCCAGUUCUUUUCUGGGUUCUCAGGACAAAUUGAGCAUAGUGCUCACAGUGCUUCUUCAUUUAGACUAGCAAAAUAUCUGUCCUAGUGAUGGGUGAGGCGGAUGGAGAGGGAAGAUCUGUAUAUUGCAAUGUCUCCUGUGCAGGACAGAAUGCAUUUCUUGUGGGGUGAUUAGGGAGGCAGGAGAGGAUAUAUUAUUUAAUGAUAUCUUUCCUAACUUGCGCUAGCAAGUUCCAUAUUCUAGCAGAGUUCCAAACAGCCCCCUUUUUAAAUUACGCAGCAAUCAGCUUGUUGCUGACUCAUCUGAGUCUUACUAUUAAAGAUUCCUUCCUGGUAAAAUCCCUUCUAAUCCCCCUUAAAAAGAAUAAAUAAAAGAAUCUGAUUAACGUGAAUAUAAAAGUAGUUCACUCACAGAUUCAUUCAGGUUCACAGACAUAUCCCUGAAGGCAGGCUUGGGUUACAUAACAACUGGAACUAGUCCAUAAAGAAGUUAGCCCCAAGUGACUGCGACUAAGCAGUCACUUCUCCAAACACACAGCAACGUACACAAUGGAGAAGACACGCUGAUCCGAACAUGGAGGCCAUGUGCUCCUCCAUGCUAGUACAACAGACCACACCCUCUUCAAGUCUGUCCCAGCUCAGGAGGAAACAGGAAGUCCUCUCCUGAGUGGUACAUGUCCACUGUAGGAAUGUUGUACUUCACAGCAGUUUUACACCCCACAUUUCUUUGGGAGGUUCACUUGCAGUAUCCUAGUGCUACAUUCAGUGGCACAUUCACAGUUAAACCCAAGCUAUGGCUUACUGUAAUAUGCAAACCAAGCCAUUGUUCCCAGGUGCAGUAUUUUAUCCCCCCGCCCUCUCCACAGAAGUGGGUAGCAACUAUUGAUCUUUCUGAGGGAAAUUAAACAGCUGCACUUGGGAUCACCAAAUAGUGGAGUCUAAACCCUCUCCCUGCCCCAAUAACCCCAGCCAUUGAGGGGAGAAAUCUAGCCCUAUAGUCCCAUGCUAGGCACUGUCUCUCGCUUGUGCUCCAGGGGGACAUGGGAAUGCCUUCCAAAUACCUAAUGCCAGAGCAGCACAAUGUUUCGUUCUGUCUGGCGUUUGAGCUUCCAGCUCUCAAUGUAAGAGGCUGCAUGAUCUUGGGAUGGUCACAUUUUACAUAACUAACUGUUCCAACUUCACCAUCUGUCUUUGCUCAGAUUUGGAGGGUAAAGAUUACUGUUAGUGCUGAUUUACUUUAUUGUUGUUCUUUUAAACUAAACUAGAAUAUCAACCUGCCCCCCCCCUUUUCAUGAAAAUCCUGACAUACACUUAACUUAAUUCUUAUCCUUACCCAACAUUCUGUUCAGGAGAAGGGUUGGAAGGGAAUCAAGUACUUCAGUCUCAGAAGGUAAGUGAGUCUGAUGCUUCCCAGAACUUGGAUGGGAGUCUGGGUGAAGCCCAUAAAGAUUUUUCUUCAAGAAAGGAUGGACAAGGGGAUUAUAAAACAGAGAAGCAUGUGUAGAAGAAAUAACUUUCUCUUUCUCAUAAAACAUCUAAUGUAAUUGAUUGGCAAGAGAAUCAUGUCAAACAAAAUACUUUUCUCAAUCAAGAAAUGCGCAGUGCACGUGAGGAACCCAUUGUCACGAGGCAAUUGAGUCAUGAGGCUGCAACGGAUUAGCACAGCCACCUCCAACCUUGAGCCUCCCCGGAUGUCUUCAGCUGCAAUUCCCACCUUCCACAGCCAGCACAGCAAUGGCAAAUGAAUGUGAGAAAUUAAUGGAAUACACUCUCUUGGAUUAGACAAAUGCAUGGCAGGUACUCAAUAGAUGGCUGCUAGCCAUGGUUGCUAAACUGGAACCUUCAUUUUGAAAGGGAGUAUGCCUCUUAUCACCGAAUGCUCAGGCUUGGCCAGACAAAUCCUAGAAGCACCUCAACAAUGAGCAAACCUGUUUGACUAGAGGCAAAUGUGGGGCAGCAAAAAUGAGUGUGUGCACCACAGGCAAAUACACCUCUUCCUUGUACUGUCUUCCCCUCUCUGCAAAAAGUUGCCCUCACUCUCCAAACUUCAAUCUCCACUCAAACUCCACCUGACAAACUAUAUCGUUUUCAUAUCAGAGUGUCUAAUUAGUAGCAGAGGAUUCUAAAACACACACACAAUAAUAAUCUAAGCGAAGGCUGCAAUUGUGCCACAGGAACAGUUAAAGAUCAGCCUUCAGAACAUUUGAAAAUUCUUGUCUCUGGGAUUUCCACGGUGAUACAAUCUAAUACAUUUUGGAGAAGGGGGAACUGUGUUCUGUUUUGCUGAGAUAUCCACUUUAUCUCCUGAUUUUAUAAUAUUCAUGAAUCUUAACCAGUUCCUCAAACAACCCUGAAAACUGAGUGUUCUUCACACUUUGCUCCUUUUCAUGAAAGGGCUGAAGCUGCAGUCAGCAAGUGGCUCUGCCUGUUCCUAGGAUUAAAGCAGGGCUUGGCCCAGGUCAGAAAACAUUCCCGCAGGUUGCCUUUUUCAAACAGAAGACUUUGUCUGCACUGCACAUUUCUAUUGCUUUUCUUAUCCAUUUUCUGUCAUGGUUCUUUCAGAGAAUAGCAAUCUGGUUACUGGUUAAAGACCUCCUGCUCCCCUCCGAAUGCUGAAGAUUGAUGUUAGACCAAUGUGAAUCUGUAGUGCACAUUAUUAAAUAUAGUAUAUUUAUAAAUAAAAUGGAACUAAUAGAGU
Non-coding RNA from Podarcis lilfordi (Lilford's wall lizard), 3075 nucleotides. Lineage: Eukaryota; Metazoa; Chordata; Lepidosauria; Squamata; Lacertidae. The record is from the annotation of a GenBank genome assembly.